RNAcentral lists this small nuclear RNA (106 nucleotides) under Rattus norvegicus (Norway rat). Lineage: Eukaryota; Metazoa; Chordata; Mammalia; Rodentia; Muridae. The record is from RNAcentral.
GUGUUCAUUUCAGCAGCACACACACUAAGACUGGGUCAAUACGGAGAGGGUAAGCAAGGCCCGUGCGCAAGAAUGGCGCAAAAAUCAUGAAGCCUUGUAGACACUU